Molecule: ribosomal RNA, 253 nt
Filed under: uncultured bacterium
Lineage: Bacteria
Description: partial 16S ribosomal RNA
Rfam family: Bacterial small subunit ribosomal RNA
Source: RNAcentral
UACAGAGGGUGCGAGCGUUAAUCGGAAUUACUGGGCGUAAAGCGUGCGUAGACGGUCAAGUAAGUCGGGUGUGAAAGCCCCGGGCUCAACCUGGGAAUUGCAUUCGAGACUGCGUGGCUAGGGUGCGGAAGAGGGAAGCGGAAUUUCCGGUGUAGCGGUGAAAUGCGUAGAGAUCGGGAGGAACACCGGUGGCGAAGGCGGGUCUCUGGGCAUCUCCUGACGCUGAGGCGCGAAAGCGUGGGGAGCAAACGGG